CCCGUGGCGAAUUGGCGAUCACCGGUGACUGUAAAUCACCCGCUUCGGCUGUGUAGGUUCGACUCCUGCCUGCGGGAC
RNAcentral lists this transfer RNA (78 nucleotides) under Mycobacterium phage Reindeer. RNAcentral's name for it is "tRNA-Tyr". Lineage: Duplodnaviria; Heunggongvirae; Uroviricota; Caudoviricetes; Vilmaviridae. The record is from RNAcentral.